UGAGUAACACGUAGGGAACCUGCCCCUAAGACGAGGAUAACUACUGGAAACGGUAGCUAAUACUGGAUAGGAUAGGUUGACGCAUGUUGGCUUAUUUAAAGGUGCCUAUAAAGCACCGCUUAGGGAUGGCCCUGCGGCGCAUUAGCUAGUUGGUGGGGUAACGGCCUACCAAGGCGACGAUGCGUAGCUGUGCUGAGAGGCAGAACAGCCACACUGGGACUGAGACACGGCCCAGACUCCUACGGGAGGCAGCAGUAGGGAAUUUUCGGCAAUGGGGGGAACCCUGGCCGAGCGAUGCCGCGUGAGUGAUGAAGGUCUUCGGAUUGUAAAACUCUGUUAUUAGGGAAGAAUACUAUAGGGAGGAAAUGCCUUAUAGAUGACGGUACCUAAUGAGGAAGCCCCGGCCAACUAUGUGCCAGCAGCCGCGGUAAUACAUAGGGGGCGAGCGUUAUCCGGAAUUACUGGGCGUAAAGGGUGCGUAGGCGGUUUCUUAAGUCUAGUGUGAA
This 506-nucleotide ribosomal RNA is filed under the name uncultured bacterium. RNAcentral's name for it is "bacterial SSU rRNA". It matches the Rfam family "Bacterial small subunit ribosomal RNA", at positions 107 to 598 of the family's 1533-position model. The record is from RNAcentral.